RNAcentral lists this ribosomal RNA (375 nucleotides) under uncultured Pseudomonas sp. RNAcentral describes it as "bacterial SSU rRNA". It matches the Rfam family "Bacterial small subunit ribosomal RNA", at positions 1008 to 1382 of the family's 1533-position model. Lineage: Bacteria; Pseudomonadati; Pseudomonadota; Gammaproteobacteria; Pseudomonadales; Pseudomonadaceae. The record is from RNAcentral.
UGCGUUCCAUCUGGAAGAAGUCUGGAGACAGGUGCUGCAUGGCUGUCGUCAGCUCGUGUCGUGAGAUGUUGGGUUAAGUCCCGCAACGAGCGCAACCCUUGCCUUUAGUUGCCAGCAGUUCGGCUGGGCACUCUAAAGGGACUGCCGGUGUUAAACCGGAGGAAGGUGGGGAUGACGUCAAGUCCUCAUGGCCUUUAUGACCAGGGCUACACACGUACUACAAUGGCCGAUACAAAGGGUUGCCAAGCCGCGAGGUGGAGCUAAUCCCAUAAAACCGAUCGUAGUCCGGAUCGCAGUCUGCAACUCGACUGCGUGAAGUCGGAAUCGCUAGUAAUCGUGAAUCAGAAUGUCACGGUGAAUACGUUCCCGGGCCUU